RNAcentral lists this unclassified non-coding RNA (253 nucleotides) under uncultured Alcanivoracaceae bacterium. Its description in RNAcentral is "contains 16S-23S intergenic spacer region". It matches the Rfam family "Bacterial small subunit ribosomal RNA", at positions 524 to 776 of the family's 1533-position model. Lineage: Bacteria; Pseudomonadati; Pseudomonadota; Gammaproteobacteria; Oceanospirillales; Alcanivoracaceae. The record is from RNAcentral.
UACGGAGGGUGCGAACGUUAAUCGGAAUUACUGGGCGUAAAGCGCGCGUAGGCGGUUUGUCAAGUCAGGUGUGAAAGCCCUGGGCUCAACCCGGGAAUUGCAUUUGAAACUGGCAGGCUAGAGUGCAGUAGAGGGAGGUGGAAUUUCAGGUGUAGCGGUGAAAUGCGUAGAUAUCUGAAGGAACACCAGUGGCGAAGGCGGCCUCCUGGACUGACACUGACGCUGAGGUGCGAAAGCGUGGGGAGCAAACAGG